UAACAAGGAUUCCCCUAGUAACUGCGAGUGAAGCGGGAACAGCUCAAAUUUAAAAUCUGGUGGUUCCGCCGCCCGAGUUGUAGUCUGGAGAAGUGUUAUCCGUGUCGGACCGUGUACAAGUCUCCUGGAAUGGAGCGUCAUAGAGGGUGAGAAUCCCGUCCAUGACACGGAUUCCCGAUGCUUUGUGAGGCACUCUCAAAGAGUCGAGUUGUUUGGGAAUGCAGCUCAAAAUGGGUGGUAAAUUCCAUCUAAAGCUAAAUAUUGGCGAGAGACCGAUAGCGAACAAGUACCGUGAGGGAAAGAUGAAAAGCACUUUGGAAAGAGAGUUAAACAGUACGUGAAAUUGUUGAAAGGGAAACGCUUGAAGUCAGUCGCGUCUUGUGGAACUCAGCCUGGCCUCGGUCUGGUGUACUUUCCAUGGGACGGGUCAACAUCAAUUUCAGCCGGUGGAAAAGGGCGGGGGGAAUGUAGCGCCGUUUCGGCGGCGUGUUAUAGCCUCUCGUCGUAUACGCUGGCUGGGAUUGAGGACUGCAGCACGCCCUUGUGGCCGGGGUUCGCCCACGUAACGUGCUUAGGAUGUUGGCAUAAUGGCUUUAAGCGACCCGUCUUGAAACACGGACCAAGGAGUCUAACAUGCUUGCGAGUGUUCGGGUGGAAAACCCUUGCGCGUAAUGAAAGUGAAAGUUGGGAACCUCCGCAAGGGGGUGCACCGACGCCCGGCCCUGACGUUCUCUGACGGUGCUGCGGUAGAGCAAGUAUGUUGGGACCCGAAAGAUGGUGAACUAUGCCUGAAUAGGGCGAAGCCAGAGGAAACUCUGGUGGAGGCUCGUAGCGAUUCUGACGUGCAAAUCGAUCGUCAAAUUUGGG
RNAcentral lists this ribosomal RNA (867 nucleotides) under Phellinus glaucescens. RNAcentral describes it as "LSU rRNA". It matches the Rfam family "Eukaryotic large subunit ribosomal RNA", at positions 66 to 915 of the family's 3401-position model. Lineage: Eukaryota; Fungi; Basidiomycota; Agaricomycetes; Hymenochaetales; Hymenochaetaceae. The record is from RNAcentral.